AUAGGAUUCAAUGUGUGGCAUACCCAAUGUUGGGCCUGGAGCUUAAAGCCUAGGCGAUGGAAACAUGGACAGAGGGGGGUGCAGGCCUGUGUGAGGUGUGAGUGGUGGUAACUGAUAUGGGCCUAAAGGCCUCAGAAGCCCAAACAAAACAACCAAAGGAAUGGGGGAGGAUCACUUCAGCCAGCUCGAUUCAAUCUUCCCCCUUGUGAUACCACCAUGAAUACUCCGGACCACUCUCUCAUAUCUCCAGCUCAAAUCAUAAAUUUACUAACCAAGAAAACCGCAAUCCCCCACCAAAUCCUUCCCUAAAUCCGAACUUAUCGAUUGCUUUCUCAAACGCUAAAUGUUGGGUCCAAAAUGAAGCCUUGAAGGCCCUAACCCUAAGUCCUAAUUUGGUUGAGAUAAACAUGCUGAGGCGCGAAAUUGGGACGGGAAGUGGUGAGAAAAUAUGUUACCGGAAGAACCAUGCAAAUAAUCAAUUCGAAAUAAUUACCGAGACAACGUGAAUAAAAGCUCCGGCAUGGUGGUUCUUCUGCCCGACGACGGGAAUGGUUUCAUAGUUAGUAAACUGGGAGCUCUAAAACACAUGGUUCUGGUUAUGGAUGAUGGUAAAAUUCAUGCUGAGAUAAUUUCUAUAUGAUCUUGACAGAGUGAAGAAAAACCUUGGACCCACCCGAAAUCGAUUUAACGAGGCGUACCACCUCGCAAGGAGGCACACUUCUACAGCUGAUGUACAUCGAGUCGGAAGAUGCAACAAUAGAAAAUAAGUUUGGUUCAACAAAGGUAAUAAUUUAUUUGUAAUCUGAAGUCUUCUGACUCCUAGCUUUGGGGCAUUUUUUCUGUUUUGGGAUGGCUUAAAUUAUUGUGUAUGUAUGCUCGAAUGAAACUUUCAUCCAAAUAGAACCAGUUAAUAAUUUAGUUAGUGUUGAUGGACUCAUGCUUGCGUAUGAAGCGGUGUUAGAGGUUGAUUUGGAAGGCGUUUGGAAGGCGAAAGCAAUAUCUCAUUGAAAUAACAUAGAUGGAUUUGUUUGCUUCA
This is a long non-coding RNA of Lathyrus oleraceus (garden pea), 1036 nucleotides long. RefSeq lists it as uncharacterized. The transcript has 2 exons. NCBI's taxonomy places the organism in Eukaryota, Viridiplantae, Streptophyta, Magnoliopsida, Fabales, Fabaceae. The record is from RefSeq and is a predicted model, not a curated record.